This 2467-nucleotide long non-coding RNA is filed under the name Equus caballus (horse). RNAcentral describes it as "lncRNA (ENSECAG00000050510.1)". The record is from RNAcentral. Lineage: Eukaryota; Metazoa; Chordata; Mammalia; Perissodactyla; Equidae.
AUUGCAAGGAGGGUGUUUGGGGAAUUAAAUGAUCUUUGGGGGAAAUUGUAUAAAAGCUAAACUUCUAUUCAAAUGUUAGUUAAAAUUGGGUUGUUGGGUUGAUAAUCCCUGAGACUUGUCUUGUUUUAGUGGGACGGGCUUGUGGAGCGUUCUGAGGAAGGAGCGGGGUGAUGGGUAUGAAGGCCUUGCUCAGGACUGGCACUCAGCUUGUGGCAGAGAUACGGGACCUGCUCAGUCCUGAGUCUCCUCGUCCUCACAAGCGGAGCUCUGCUUUUAUUCCAGGUGGUGAUGUGCCUAGAAAAAGAGAGACAUUUCCUCGUCUCCUGGAAGUAGGAGCAGUUGGUUGGUUUUCUAGAAAUCUUCACAAAGGCUGCCUCAGCUGGGAGAGGUGCCUUUUUGCCCUUCCUCUACCUCUUUUUUCUCUCUCGGAAAGCAAAGACGAUGGCUGGCAUUCCUACAGCCAUCUUGGACCAUGAGGUGACCUUGAAGAUAAGAUAUAAGCUUUGCGCUAAACACGUUGGAGAAGAAAGAUGAAAAGCAUCUGGUCCCUGAUGCCUGUGGAGCUGCCUUUACUGCCUCGGGCUGCCCACUUCAGGCUUCUUUUAUGGGAGGGAAAAUAAACUUAUGCUUUGAAUAGGUAAACUAGAAAAGAGAACCCCGGUCGCCGCCGCCUGCCCCGCCGCCUGCCCCUCUGCCUGCUCUGGGAGGAGAGACUCAGCUGUUCUGCCUCUUCCUCAGCCGCCUCCUCGUUGCUGCGUUUUCCUGCAUUUAAUGAUUGUAAAAGAUAAAGAAACAGAAUUUGAAUGACCUCAUUUCUGUCAUGGUAUGUGAACAUUUCGAGUGUUUCUUUGGGUUUAAAAUUUGUAACGGUGAAACACUGUAAGCCUGUGGGGUACAGUAUUUUUAUUAAGUGCAAAUUUAGUUCAUACGUGAAAUAUUUUACUGAAUGUGAACAAUAUCUUUAAAAUUGAAGUGUACUCUUUUUUAAAGUUAUAAUUAUUUGUUUAAUAGUUUUCUGACUUGAACUUUUUGUCGAUAUUUUGAUUUUAUUAAAGUUUACUCCACUCUUUUCCCCUCUGGUAAUCACUAAUCUGGUCUUAUACGUGUGUUUGUUUAUCUUCCACAUAAGAGUGAAAUCAUACGGUGUUUGUCUUUCUCUGUUUGACUCAUUUUGCUUGGUAUAAUACCCUCAAGGUCCAUCCGUGUUGUCACAAACGGUAUGAUUUUAUCUUGUUUUAUGGCUGAGUAGUAUUCCAUUGUGUAUAUACACCACAUCUUCUUUAUCCAUUCAUCCCUUGAUGGGCACCUAGGUUGCUUCCAAGUCUUGGUAUUCUGAAUAAUGCUGUGAUGAACGCAGGGAAGCAUAUAUCUUUUCGAACUAGUGUUUUCGUGUUCGUUGGAUAAAUACCCAGAAGUGGAAUAGCUGGAUCAUAUGGUAAUUCUAUUUUUAAGUUUUUGGGAAAUUUCCAUACUGUUUUCCAUAGCAGCUGCAGCUUUUUCCUUUUAUGUACAUAAAAUAAACUUUCUCUUUUACUGGCAAGAUUAUAUAUAAAGUAUAAUAAAGGAAAAUUUUCACUUCCUGUGAAAUUUUCACUGCCUUUUCUGGCCAUGUUAUUUUUUACUUUCUUUCAAGAUUUUGAUGAAAUAAUUUUGUUGAAUAGAGGAGAUGAUAUUAAAAAUUAUCUGCUCAGGGGCUGGCCCUGUGGCUGAGUGGUUAAGUUCGUGUGCUCCGCUGCAGGCGGCCCAGUGUUUUAUUGGUUCGAAUCCUGGGCGCGGACAUGGCACCGCUCAUCAAACCACACUGAGGCGGCAUCCCACAUGCCACAACUAGAAGGACCCACAAAGAAGAAUAUACAACUGUGUAUCGGGGGGCUUCGGGGAGAAAAAGGAAAAAAAAAUUAAAUUAAAAAAAAUUGUCUGCUCUGGGUGUUAAAUACGCGAGAGAGGCCACUGACCAUAGGUCUCUCUAUCCUGAGCACGGAAUGCCCAAGUGGCGUGUGGGGGCCAAAAGCGCAGGGCUUCCCAGUUGAUUGAAGAGAAAAUUUUUUCUCCAUUCACAGUUCUGUGGACUCUAAUCUUAAGGAAAAUAGCAGCAGCAGUAGUCAAAACCAACAGCUUCUGCAGGCAUCAGGUGGAUAUUCCCAUGAUAUUCCCAAACAGCCAGGACUGAGACUUCCUUCAGUCUAGGUCAGACAAUCCAACAGUCGCACCUUAAAGUCCACCCACUUGCUGAUCUGUGCAGGAAGGAGCAGCCACUUGUGUCCCUUUCUCUGUGAAGGUCAUUGAUUUCUCACUCUUGUCCUGUGCAGGGCUUUUCUUCCAACGUCCUUUGACACUGAAUUAACUUUAAUUCUAGCUGGGGAGGAAACUCUGGGUUGGAAUGGACGACCUUGCCAUAGGUCGAUGAGACCGCCUGGGAGUUAAUUGCGCUGUAACUCUUUCGCUGCUUGAAGCUCAUUAACUUUCC